This is a long non-coding RNA of Drosophila biarmipes, 700 nucleotides long. RefSeq lists it as uncharacterized. NCBI's taxonomy places the organism in Eukaryota, Metazoa, Arthropoda, Insecta, Diptera, Drosophilidae. The transcript has 2 exons. The record is from RefSeq and is a predicted model, not a curated record.
UAAUUCUGCAACUCAUAUUUGUUAAGCGCAAACGUAAACCUGCCAAAUUUAAAUAAAUAUGAAAAUAACUCUUCAAAAUCGCUAGAUUUAACUAAUCAAACCUAUCUCCCCAUCAUGUUUUUAAUAAUUAUAGAUUGUAUUUAUUCUGAAAAAUAAUAUUAUAGUAACACAUUUUAUGGAAUUUAUAAAAAAAGUAGCAAAGACGGAGCAGAAAAAAUAUGAAAUUUCUUAACAAUAAAGUAUUGUUGCUGACAUGGUUUUACUAGCAAUAUAAAAUAGCAAUGAUUCAGUUACUUUCCCCCCAAAGCUAGAUUGCCAGCACUGAGGCGACCGUAUUUCAUUGGGAAAUUCGCUCUCCGCUUCACAGUCGACAGCUGCUGAUUAACACAAAACGACAACAGAACGGCGGAGACAUGACGACAACGGCAAUAACAACAAAUAACCACCGAAACAGCAAACACAGAUAUGUCAGGCGAGUCACCAAUAGACCGGACUCGUCUACUCACAAACACCCAGUUGGUCUCGAAGUACAUGGUCAGCUCCCGAUGCACUUGGUCCGCGGGUUUGGGGGUCUCCACAUGCUCCAAACUCACUCACGCGACUAUCUAAUCUCGCGGCGAACUACGCUUACUGGGCGUGCACGGUGAAAAAAUUGUGAAAACUUAAGUUUUAAAAAUCAAAAACAAAAGUCUCAAAAUAA